CCUACGGGGGGCUGCAGUCGAGAAUCAUUCACAAUGGGGGAAACCCUGAUGGUGCGACGCCGCGUGGGUGAAUGAAGGUCUUCGGAUUGUAAACCCCUGUCAUGUGGGAGCAAAUUAAAAAGAUAGUACCACAAGAGGAAGAGACGGCUAACUCUGUGCCAGCAGCCGCGGUAAUACAGAGGUCUCAAGCGUUGUUCGGAAUGACUGGGCGUAAAGCGUGCGUAGGCGGUUUCGUAAGUCGUGUGUGAAAGGCCCGGGCUCAACCCGCGGACGGCACAUGAUACUGCGAGACUAGAGUAAUGGAGGGGGAACCGGAAUUCUCGGUGUAGCAGUGAAAUGCGUAGAUAUCGGGAGGAACACUCGUGGCGAAGGCGGGUUCCUGGACAUUAACUGACGCUGAGGCACGAAGGCCAGGGGAGCGAAAGGGAUUAGAUACCCCGGUAGUC
This 446-nucleotide ribosomal RNA is filed under the name uncultured bacterium. RNAcentral describes it as "partial 16S ribosomal RNA". It matches the Rfam family "Bacterial small subunit ribosomal RNA", at positions 338 to 795 of the family's 1533-position model. The record is from RNAcentral.